This 274-nucleotide ribosomal RNA is filed under the name uncultured bacterium. Its description in RNAcentral is "partial 16S ribosomal RNA". It matches the Rfam family "Bacterial small subunit ribosomal RNA", at positions 523 to 796 of the family's 1533-position model. The record is from RNAcentral.
AUACGGAGGGUGCAAGCGUUGUUCGGAAUCACUGGGCGUAAAGGGCGCGCAGGCGGUUUGAUUAGUCAGAUGUGAAAGCCCACGGCUUAACCGUGGAAGUGCAUUUGAAACUGUCAGACUUGAGUACCAGAGGGGGUAGUGGAAUUCACGGUGUAGAGGUGAAAUUCGUAGAUAUCGGGAGGAAUACCGGUGGCGAAGGCGACUACCUGGCUGGAUACUGACGCUGAGGCGCGAAAGCGUGGGGAGCAAACAGGAUUAGAAACCCCGGUAGUCC